AUUCUGCCUGACGUGGACGCUAGCCUUAAGGAUUAAGCCAUGCAAGCCAGCGAAGGUAACGGAGCGGCAGACGGCUCAGUAGGACAGGGAUAUCUGACCACAUAUAUGGAUAACCGCGGUAAACUGUGGCUAAUACUAGUGUGGGUGAGUUCCUGGCCUAUCAGCUAGACGGUACGGUAAGUGCGUACCGUGGCGAUGACGGGUAACGGGGAAUCGGGGUUUGAUUCCGGAGAGGGAGCCUGAGAGAUGGCUACCACGUCCAAGGGCGGCAGCAGGCGCGAAACUUACCCAUUUGGAGGACCAGAGGUAGUGACGAGGUGUAAUUAAUGAGGAUAGUUUAAAAAGCUAACCGAAAGCAACUAGAGGGCAAGUCUGGUGCCAGCAGCCGCGGUAAUUCCAGCUCUAGGAGCGUCUGUGUGUGUUGUUGCGGUUAAAAAGCGCGUAGUCGGGCAGACAGCCAGCUAUAAAGGUGCGAUCUUUUGUCGUGCAUUAAGCUGGAACGAAGGCCUAGGAACCGGAGAGGGGCAAUGGUAUUCGACAGCGAGGGGUGAAAACCGAUGACCUGUCGAGGAGCAACAGAGGCGAAGGCGAUUGUCCGGGACGGGUUCGACGAUCAAGCGCGUGAGCAGGAGGAUCGAAGGCGAUUAGAGACCGUCGUAGUUCCUGCAGUAAACGAUGCCAACAGGGUUGCAGGAAUCUGUGACUCAGGGGAAACCGAGUGUAUGGGCUCCGGGGAUAGUACAGGCGCAAGCUGGAAACUUAAAGAAAUUGACGGAAGGACACCACAAGGAGUGGAGUGUGCGGGUUAAUUUGACUCAACGCGGGACAACUUACCGGGGCAGGCAGUGUCGUGUGAGGGAAUAGGAUAAGAUCUUGUUCCCGAGGAUGCUGCGUGUGGUGCAUGGCCGUUCUUAACACGUGGGGUGACUUCUCUGGUUAAAUCCGAUAACGCGUGAGACCCUGAAUAGUGACGAUACACGAAAAGUGUAAGGAAGCACGGGUCGAUAACAGGUCUGUGAUGCCCGUAGACGUUCCGGGCGCCACGCGCACUACAAUGGGGGAGGUUACAUGAAACUGGGCUCCCUCGCAGUUGGGAUCGUCGCUUGUAAAUGCGUCGUGAACGAGGAAUUCCUAGUAGCGUGCUGUCAUUAUCAGCAGGCGAAUGGGUCCCUGUUCUUUGUACACACCGCCCGUCGUUAUCUAAGAUGGAUGUGCGGAUGAAGGCGAUUAGGUCGCAAGAAUCCGUGCCGCUAGAUUGGAUACAAGUCGUAACAAGGUAACCA
This 1283-nucleotide ribosomal RNA is filed under the name Marssoniella elegans. RNAcentral's name for it is "SSU rRNA". It matches the Rfam family "Microsporidia small subunit ribosomal RNA". Lineage: Eukaryota; Fungi; Microsporidia; Gurleyidae. The record is from RNAcentral.